Lethenteron reissneri (Far Eastern brook lamprey) is the source of this 2799-nucleotide long non-coding RNA. RefSeq lists it as uncharacterized. The record is from RefSeq and is a predicted model, not a curated record. Lineage: Eukaryota; Metazoa; Chordata; Hyperoartia; Petromyzontiformes; Petromyzontidae.
GCAGUGCCUAAGAACAGUGGCACAUUGAAGCGUACCUCUCAAAUCGUGGGGAAGCAAUCGGCUGUGGUGAGCAGAUCUAAAUUAAAACAAUUUCGAGCCCUUUGUCAAUCCACUGCUGAGUGAGGCCCUCAAAGACGCCACCGCCGACCAUGAGAGAAUAAAGUCAGGGCAGACAGCUUUUUCAAUAAUCCACUUUCUGGAUAAGAGCAUCCCCACGUCUUCCGUGUUAUUUGACCAUACUUCACCACGCUGGUCAAUCCGGGUCAGCAACACAGAGAGCGACGCCUUCGCCGCUUUCAUUGGACCUGGCAACGGCUAGCGACGCCUUCGCCAAGGGCUGCAGUUUCAUUGAACGGCGGUUGCCCCUGCCAACGGCUCCGUAAAUAAUUCAAUAAUAGCCAUUACACAGUAUUGUUGGAGCGCUGAGCGGGGGGGGGGGGAAGGCACGCCACCCGUACCCUGCCUCUGCCGGCUGCACAAUUUUGGCGAGGCCGCAGGCUCUGCACGCUACUAGGCCUCGACACCCACCACGCCACUCUGAGAACAUCUGAAGAAACAUCAUCCCCCUUAUCUCCCCUACCCCCAUAACGAGUGGUUACCAAGGGGUCAGUGUUUCAUCCUGGUCGCAUUGUUGGACUCUGCAAGUUGCCAUCCACUAACAUAGAACAUAUCUGCCAUCCACAGAUUUAAACCGUCUUCAAAUAUAUCUGGAACAUAUCAAAAACAACUAGAAUGCAUGUAAAUUGCAUGUCAAAUGAAGACAUUAAUAUUACACUUGAUGGCAAUAAUUCUACUCAAGUAGAAGAAAUGCACUACUCCACGAACCGUGAUGAAAAUAUUACAAGGCAGCUUCAUCUGCGCGACAACGGUGGUGCCCGGGAAAAGAAUGAAACCAAAAUAACAAACGUCUCGAAUUCUCAAGAAACGAUCGAAAGAGCGGACGCACUUAACACGUGUUCGUCGGGGGAGAAUAGUCAAAACAGACUUGUCGCAAUGGGUACGGCCCCGCUGCCUCUCGUUCAAAACCCUCCUGAGCCCACAGACGAAAAGUUGUCUGCCGCGUUAACGAUGAAGGGACAUUCGCAUCGCACGCCCUCCUCUCAUCUCGUCUACCACUACACGGGGACUCAUCUUGGCCCACCGAGUCGACGCGGAACCUUCUAACGGAUAAGCAAAUGUUGUGAACGAAGAGUUGCCACGCCUAGAAAUGACCCCUUGCAUCUACGCAAAAAACAAACUGUGGGUGAUCGUAUAUAAUUCGAUUAAUGUACUGUGCUGUACGCUAAUGUCCCUGUUAUUCUAAAUAUCUGUGGAUAACAAUAUGAAUUUACUGCGAUGUACACUGUAGUAUAGUGUGUAGUGUAGCAUUUUUGUUGCUGGAUCCUUGACGCUUUCGAAACUUCGGCCUGUGCUCAGAAACUUAAAAAAGACUAAUUGGCCCAAUCUUUGCUGUAUUCUGGCCGUAAUAUCGCCACCAAUCCUAUGCUGAUAUUGUUUUACUCAUUGGUGCACGAGUGGCCCAACAACGCCAUUUUGCUCGAUGUCCAUCUCUGUGCCAAUGCUUACGCGAUGUUCUGCAAUGUUGUGGGGCAUCAUCACGCUAUCCAUUCAUUUCAAAUAUGUACCUAUUUUCCCGCAUAUAGCCCACAUAUGCAUAUAACCCGCAGGUGCAUAUACCCCACAAAAAUAGCGUUUUGUGUAAAACAAAUUUCAGAUAGCCCGCACCUCCGUAUACCCCGCAUGCAUUCAUAUAUUUAACGUCGUAAACGGUUAUUACACUCGGCUUGCAGUCCACAGGUCCGGCUCUCCCAUCUACCAGCCUGGCAGCUGAAGCGAUCGUUCAAGUUUCCAAAAUGCCCUUUGCCUCUGUCCACCCAGCGGUUGGGUAGACAACAGUCAGUCGGUCAAAAGGUCGCACGUGGUUGCGUAAAGUGUGGGUACUCGCCCCUCUUCCGAGAUGUCUGGCGAGCGUGGGAAAGUAGACCAAACGACUCCUCGUGGAGGCCCUUCCUCCUGCAUUGGCACGAGCAAAACCUUUACCGUUUAUAGUUUCACACAUACACGAGCUGCUCUGUAAUAAGCAUUUUAGAUGUAUUAUCUUUAUUUGACACUCAAAUCACGUGUCACUAAUUUACUCUGCAUCGCGCGCUUUCAGAUGCGCUUCUGCGGCCGUCUGAUGUUAGGAAACCACUUGGAGCUAUGCACUUUAAAAUCAUCUAGAUUGAAAACUAAUUCCUUGAUAACUACUUUUUUUGUUUAGUUUGUUGUCCUUAGCACGGAUGUAUACCUAUGAAAGAAGUUCAACAUACAUACGUACAUUUGAAAUUGUUUGAAACAACUAAUGUAAACGUGAUAUUUCAUUAGCAUUCUCCAAGUAAUCUGCAUAGCAUGUGUUGUGUUAAAACACGUAGAUGUGGUGUAAAAAAUAAACUUUGAUUGCUUUCUGGAUGAUUAGGACACAUCGUGUGCAUACGUGACAUGGUCAAUGUGUGAUUUAUGUGUCCAAAAUAAGUGUUUAGUUUUAAAUAGCGCCGUUCAUGACGAUUGCGUCCCAAGAUCGAAGAGGGACCAGAUAACCUGAGUGACAGCCAGAUGGUGAGCCGGCAUCAACAAUUAAACCAGGCCUCUACCGUCUUCUGUAUAUUAAGAUGUUUUCAGUCAAUUAAUGAGAGGUAUUGCAUGUGAGAGGAAAUCGGAGCACCUGGAGAAAACUCCCGCGUGCGAGGGGGCAAUGCUCUAUCCUAUACAGAAGGGAAAAAUUAUGACUUAAAGCUUUCGUGACUGCAGGAAUUCAUAUAC